RNAcentral lists this ribosomal RNA (761 nucleotides) under uncultured Alphaproteobacteria bacterium. Its description in RNAcentral is "bacterial SSU rRNA". It matches the Rfam family "Bacterial small subunit ribosomal RNA", at positions 40 to 848 of the family's 1533-position model. The record is from RNAcentral. Lineage: Bacteria; Pseudomonadati; Pseudomonadota; Alphaproteobacteria.
CGGCAGGCCUAACACAUGCAAGUCGAGCGCCCUACUUCGGUAGGGAGCGGCGGACGGGUGAGUAACGCGUGGGAACGUGCCCUUUAGUUCAGAAUAGCCACUGGAAACGGUGAGUAAUACUGAAUACGCCCUUCGGGGGAAAGAUUUAUCGCUAAAGGAUCGGCCCGCGUUGGAUUAGCUAGUUGGUGGGGUAAAGGCCUACCAAGGCAACGAUCUAUAGCUGGCCUGAGAGGAUGAUCAGCCACACUGGGACUGAGACACGGCCCAGACUCCUACGGGAGGCAGCAGUGGGGAAUAUUGGACAAUGGGGACAACCCUGAUCCAGCCAUGCCGCGUGAGUGAAGAAGGCCCUAGGGUUGUAAAGCUCUUUCAGAUGUGAGGAUGAUGACAGUAGCAUCAGAAGAAGCACCGGCUAACUUCGUGCCAGCAGCCGCGGUAAUACGAAGGGUGCUAGCGUUGUUCGGAAUUACUGGGCGUAAAGGGCGUGUAGGCGGAUGAUCAAGCUAGAGGUGAAAGCCCAGGGCCUAACCCUGGAACUGCCUUUAGAACUGAUUGUCUAGAAUCCGUAAGGGGAGUGUGGAAUUCCUAGUGUAGAGGUGAAAUUCGUAGAUAUUAGGAAGAACACCAGUGGGCGAAGGCGGCACUCUGGUACGGUAUUGACGCUGAGGCGCGAAAGCGUGGGGAGCAAACAGGAUUAGAUACCCCUGGUWGUCCACGCCGUWAAACGAUGUUCUUGCUAGCCCGUUUUGGACACUUUAGUG